ACGGUAGUCCUUCGGGAUGAGAGUGGCGAACGGGUGAGUAAUAUAUCGGAACAUAUCCGUAAGUGGGGGAUAACGUAGAGAAAUUUACGCUAAUACCGCAUAUUCCCUGAGGGGGAAAGGAGGGGAUUCGCAAGAACCUUUCGCUGACGGAGUGGCCGAUAUCGGAUUAGCUAGUAGGUGAGGUAAAGGCUCACCUAGGCGACGAUCCGUAGCGGGUCUGAGAGGAUGAUCCGCCACACUGGAACUGAGACACGGUCCAGACUCCUACGGGAGGCAGCAGUGGGGAAUUUUGGACAAUGGGCGAAAGCCUGAUCCAGCCAUACCGCGUGAGUGAAGAAGGCCUUCGGGUUGUAAAGCUCUUUCAGCCGGAAAGAAAUCCUGCUUACUAAUACUAAGUGGGGAUGACGGUACCGGAAGAAGAAGCACCGGCUAACUACGUGCCAGCAGCCGCGGUAAUACGUAGGGUGCGAGCGUUAAUCGGAAUUACUGGGCGUAAAGCGUGCGCAGGCGGUUUUAUAAGCCAGAUGUGAAAUCCCCGGGCUUAACCUGGGAACUGCAUUUGGAACUGUAAGACUAGAGUGUAGCAGAGGGGGGUAGAAUUCCACGUGUAGCAGUGAAAUGCGUAGAGAUGUGGAGGAAUACCGAUGGCGAAGCAGCCCCCUGGGCUAACACUGACGCUCAUGCACGAAAGCGUGGGGAGCAAACAGGAUUAGAUACCCUGGCUAGUCCACGCCCUAAACGAUGUCAACUAGGUGUUGGGGAAGGAGACUUCUUUAGUAUCGCAGCUAACGCGUGAAGUGACCGCCUGAGAGUACGUCGCAGGAUUAAAACUCAAAGGA
Molecule: ribosomal RNA, 839 nt
Filed under: uncultured bacterium
Lineage: Bacteria
Description: bacterial SSU rRNA
Rfam family: Bacterial small subunit ribosomal RNA
Source: RNAcentral